GUCAUAAUGAGGUGAUCGGCAUGUGCCGUGUGGGCAGUGAUGCUGAUGGACCGGGAAGGGAGCACUGGACAGCCAUGCUGGCGAAUCCCCGCAAGCCUAUUGAACACUGGCACCAGCUGGUGGAGGAGAAAUCCAUAAACACAUACGUGUCAAAGAGUGCCACAGCCUCCCCUAAGCCACACAUAGUGGUGGACAGCCCUCACUCUGAGUAGAGAUGUCAGCAUUAUCUUUUUAGCAACAGAAAUACAUUCUUUCUUUUCACCUGUGAAUAAUUAUUCAUCAAGAAAGAACCAGAGAAGAGACUGUGCUUGUGGUAGUGCUAUUCCUCUAAGUCAACCCUGCAGACCCAACACAAUAUAGAGAAAAAUAACUAGACUAGACCAGACACAAAUCACACAGAUACAUCUCCACACACACAUAAACAAACAGACAUAUUCACACAUGGAAUCGUAACAACUGGCAUGGAUGGUUUUGCUUCAGGAAUGAUGUUGAAGUCAAAAUAUGUCAUGAUUUAUUCAGGGGAAAUAUGACAAACAUUCCCACUUUAAAUAGAUCAUCUUUAUUUAGUUAUCUGAAACUGAGCCUACAAAAAAAAAAAGAUUUUAAUUACUUAAAAAACAAAAAAUAAUCAGGAGAGACCUGAUAGCUUAUGGACCACGAAUGUUUCUGUGUAUGUGUGAGCGCAUGUGUGUAUGUGAGUUUGUACGGGUGUCUGUGUGUAGCUAUAGAAAAUCUCUACAAGGUGUUUUCAGUCUGACAAGUAGCUGCGAGUUCUCGGAGUGGUCUUCUCUGCCAAUGCAGAAUCCUUGCAACUGUUUACUGUUUCUCUGGAGAGGAGGACUACUUUAUGACCGUUCCCAUCUGGAGAAGGAGAAAUAAGGACAGAUACAUUGGCCAAAUCGUGUCGUGCAGUAUUGAAAUGUGUCCCUCUGCCUUUUACAUUUUUAUCACCUUCUGCUUGGAGCUCAUUGAGAUCAGCAGUGUUUCCUUUUUUCCUUCGUUUACUAGAGUCCAGCCAUUCUUCUUGUUCUACCAGAUACUGAAUGAAAUGAUUGGAGAAUAUGUUUCCCUGACAUGGACACACUGGCAGACUGAAUCCCACUGAGAACUCUUCCAAAGGGAGCUAUCAUUGAUUUCAAAUAUUGCCAGAGGACCCUAACUGGGACGGACCUUGGAUUUGUGUGCACUUCCUGGAAACAUAUCCUACGGGGAAAAGAUCUGGCCAUAGUAU
Molecule: long non-coding RNA, 1231 nt
Organism: Sinocyclocheilus anshuiensis
Lineage: Eukaryota; Metazoa; Chordata; Actinopteri; Cypriniformes; Cyprinidae
Exons: 3
Source: RefSeq, a predicted model, not a curated record